GCGAAAACUUUACAAUGCUGGCAACAGCGAUAAGGGAACCUCGAGUGCCAGGUUACAAAUCUGGCUGUCGUGAUGCCUAAAAAGCAUUGCAUAGCAAGGGCCGGGCAAGACCGGUGCCAGCCGCCGCGGUAACACCAGCGGCUCGAGUGGUAACCGUUAUUAUUGGGUCUAAAGGGUCUGUAGCCGGCCGGAUAAGUCUCUUGGGAAAUCUGGCAGCUUAACUGUCAGGCUUCCAGGAGAUACUGUCUGGCUCGAGGCCGGGAGAGGUGAGAGGUACUUCAGGGGUAGGGGUGAAAUCUUGUAAUCCUUGAAGGACCACCAGUGGCGAAGGCGUCUCACCAGAACGGACCUGACGGCAAGGGACGAAAGCUAGGGGCACGAACC
This 384-nucleotide ribosomal RNA is filed under the name uncultured prokaryote. RNAcentral's name for it is "bacterial SSU rRNA". It matches the Rfam family "Archaeal small subunit ribosomal RNA", at positions 341 to 725 of the family's 1478-position model. The record is from RNAcentral.